RNAcentral lists this ribosomal RNA (525 nucleotides) under Eimeriidae sp. Aus1C. RNAcentral describes it as "SSU rRNA". It matches the Rfam family "Eukaryotic small subunit ribosomal RNA", at positions 469 to 998 of the family's 1831-position model. Lineage: Eukaryota; Apicomplexa; Conoidasida; Eucoccidiorida; Eimeriidae. The record is from RNAcentral.
GACGAGAAAUAACAAUACAGGGCAUUUUAUGCUCUGUAAUUGGAAUGAUGGGAAUCCAAACCCCUUUCAGAGUAACAAUUGGAGGGCAAGUCUGGUGCCAGCAGCCGCGGUAAUUCCAGCUCCAAUAGCGUAUAUUAGAGUUGUUGCAGUUAAAAAGCUCGUAGUUGGAUUUCUGUCGUGGUCUUCCGGUGCCGCCCGUAUGGGUGCGCACUUGGUUUGCCCUCGGCAUUCUUCCGGUUUCCUUCCCCGCUUCAUUGCGUGGCUGGUUUUUCCGGAACUUUUACUUUGAGAAAAAUAGAGUGUUUCAAGCAGGCUUUUGCCUUGAAUACUUCAGCAUGGAAUAAUAAAAUAGGACUUUGGUUCUAUUUUGUUGGUUUCUAGGACUAAAGUAAUGAUUAAUAGGGACAGUUGGGGGCAUUCGUAUUUAACUGUCAGAGGUGAAAUUCUUAGAUUUGUUAAAGACGAACUACUGCGAAAGCAUUUGCCAAGGAUGUUUUCAUUAAUCAAGAACGACAGUAGGGGGUU